Molecule: ribosomal RNA, 494 nt
Filed under: uncultured bacterium
Lineage: Bacteria
Description: bacterial SSU rRNA
Rfam family: Bacterial small subunit ribosomal RNA
Source: RNAcentral
GACGAACGCUGGCGGCGUGGAUUAGGCAUGCAAGUCGGACGGUAGGGCUUUAUCGUAAGAUAGAGUUUGAGAGUGGCGAACGGGUGAGUAACACGUAGGAAUCUACCCUUAAGACGGGGACAACCCAGGGAAACUUGGGCUAAUACCGGAUGAGAGUGCGAGAGAUUGCAUUUAAAAGGAUGGCGAAAGUUGUCGCUUAGGGAUGAGCCUGCGGUCUAUUAGUUAGUUGGUGAGGUAAGAGCUCACCAAGGCGAUGAUAGAUAGGCGGCCUUAACGGGUGGUCGCCCACACUGGGAUUGAGAUACGGCCCAGACUCCUACGGGAGGCAGCAGUCGAGAAUAGUCUACAAUGGUCGGAAGACUGAUAGUGCGACGCCGCGUGAACGAUGAAUCCCUUCGGGGUGUAAAGUUCUUUUAUAUGUGAGCAGUGCUUCUUAUAUUAACAGUAUGGGGAGAGAGAUAUUAGCAUAUGAAUAAGCAACGGCUAACUCCGUG